GGUGUUACAUCCUAUAUUUUCAUACAUUGGGACGUUUUAAACUAAAAGUGACAAGUUAAAGACAAGACUAUCUUAAGAUACGAAGUAGAAAUUUUAACUUCCGGUUUCGUUUCGAAUCACAAUUUGUCUACAAUUUUCGUUUGGCAUGGAAGUGUUAAUGGAAAAUUGGGAUUAAACUAAUCACACUUGGAUUAAUAAGUGGGAUUGGGAAGACAAAACAAAAAAAGAAAAAAAAAAAAGCCCACUUUUAGGCCAUGCUUGGCCGUGCAUUUCAAUGCCUUGGUCAAGGAAUCUUGACCCAAAAUUAGUGUGAUCCACAUGUCCAAGGCAUGGAGGGGACAAAGAGACAAAAAAAAAUCUGUCCACUCCACACUUUCACAACUCAUUACAACAUUCCAAAGUGUAGAACACUUAGAGAGAGAAAGAGAGACUCACGGCUAGAGCUAGCCGAAAAUGGUGAAGAAAAAUUGAUCCAAAAAUUUCAGUUUCUCAAGCAAUUUAACUCCAUUGAAGGUAUAUUAACGUGUAGCAUCCAUUGAUAUAGCAAGAACAAGUGUUAAAAAAAAAAUCCAAGAAGUGAAAGUGAAGGCUAGCCGAUUGAAGUGUAGUUACAAGGAUAAGUGUUUUUGGGCAGCAAGUACAAGUUAGAAUACAACUAAACGCAAAAGGUACAGACGCUCGUUUCGGAGAUCCGCCAGCUUAGGACACUAUUUCAGCUAUUUUGGACUGCUCCUUUGUUCCGGAGCUAGCUUGUGGUAUAACUCCCUUAUGUUGUAUUCGUAGGUGUUUAUUUGGGUAUGGCGGGGCCCUGUCCCGCCACAUAAUACGAUCAUUACUCUUAGAGGUCUGUGGACAUCGGUGUGGGUCUGUUUGUAGUUGUUGAUGCGUUUUAUGUCUAUGACUUAUGUUUGGGGCGUACCCAUUCGUAAUGGCAGCCUUGUCGGCUCGCACAUGUAUAUGUUGUUCUGUUGGCCCUGUGUGGCCUUUGUUGGAAUUUGCUGUGUACAGGGUUAUUUUGGAUAGU
Long non-coding RNA from Lycium barbarum (goji berry), 1024 nucleotides. RefSeq lists it as uncharacterized. The transcript is spliced from 3 exons. Lineage: Eukaryota; Viridiplantae; Streptophyta; Magnoliopsida; Solanales; Solanaceae. The record is from RefSeq and is a predicted model, not a curated record.